GGUCGGUUUGGCCGGAUUUCACACAGGUGUUGCAUGGCUGUCGUCAGCUCGUGUCGUGAGAUGUUGGGUUAAGUCCCGCAACGAGCGCAACCCUCAUCCUUAGUUACCAUCAGGUUAUGCUGGGGACUUUAAGGAAACUGCCAGUGAUAAACUGGGGGAAGGUGGGGAUGAUGUCAAGUCGUCAUGGCCCUUAUGGAGUGGGCUACACACGUGCUACAAUGGUGAUUACAAUGGGCUGCAAGGUCGCAAGGCUGAGCUAAUCCUAAAAAAUCAUCUCAGUUCGGAUCGUUCUCUGCAACUCGAGAGCAUGAAGUUGGAAUCGCUAGUAAUCGUGGAUCGGCAUGCCACGGUGAAUACGUUCUCGGGUCUUGUACACACUGCCCGUCACGCCAUGGUAAUUGGUUUCACUCGAAGCU
Molecule: ribosomal RNA, 416 nt
Filed under: Wolbachia endosymbiont of Myzus persicae
Lineage: Bacteria; Pseudomonadati; Pseudomonadota; Alphaproteobacteria; Rickettsiales; Anaplasmataceae
Description: bacterial SSU rRNA
Rfam family: Bacterial small subunit ribosomal RNA
Source: RNAcentral